This 287-nucleotide ribosomal RNA is filed under the name uncultured prokaryote. RNAcentral's name for it is "partial 16S ribosomal RNA". The record is from RNAcentral.
UCGGGGGGAACGAGCGAUAAUCGACAUGAAAUAGGCGUUAAAGUGCCCUAAAGCGGUCAUGAGCAAAUUGAGACGGAAGUAUAGUACGUUCUUAACGGAUUUUCUUAACGAAAAAUCCUAUAUGCGAAUGACUUUGAGGAUGAAAUAAGACGGCGGUACUCUCUAAUCAUGGAGGUGAAAUUUCAUUGACAUUCGACGGGGACCAUCAAUCGGCGAUUGCGGCCUUCAUACUUCAUUUUAAUUUCAGACCUGACGCUGCAAAGGCGAAAGUGUGGGGAGCAAACAGA